GAUGAACGCUGGCGGCGUGCCUAAUACAUGCAAGUCGAGCGAACGGACGAGAAGCUUGCUUCUCAGAUGUUAGCGGCGGACGGGUGAGUAACACGUGGAUAACCUACCUAUAAGACUGGGAUAAAUUCGGGAAACCGGAGCUAAUACCGGAUAAUAUUUUGAACCGGAUGGUUCAAAAGUGAAAGACGGUCCUGCUGUCACUUAUAGAUGGAUCCGCGCUGCAUUAGCUAGUUGGUAAGGUAACGGCUUACCAAGGCAACGAUGCAUAGCCGACCUGAGAGGGUGAUCGGCCACACUGGAACUGAGACACGGUCCAGACUCCUACGGGAGGCAGCAGUAGGGAAUCUUCCGCAAUGGGCGAAAGCCUGACGGAGCAACGCCGCGUGAGUGAUGAAGGUCUUCGGAUCGUAAAACUCGGUUAUUAGGGAAGAACAUAUGUGUAAGUAACUGUGCACAUCUUGACGGUACCUAAUCAGAAAGCCACGGCUAACUACGUG
This 497-nucleotide ribosomal RNA is filed under the name uncultured bacterium. RNAcentral's name for it is "partial 16S ribosomal RNA". It matches the Rfam family "Bacterial small subunit ribosomal RNA", at positions 28 to 507 of the family's 1533-position model. The record is from RNAcentral.